RNAcentral lists this ribosomal RNA (253 nucleotides) under uncultured bacterium. RNAcentral describes it as "partial 16S ribosomal RNA". It matches the Rfam family "Bacterial small subunit ribosomal RNA", at positions 524 to 776 of the family's 1533-position model. The record is from RNAcentral.
UACGAAGGGGGCUAGCGUUGCUCGGAAUCACUGGGCGUAAAGCGCACGUAGGCGGCUCUUUAAGUCAGAGGUGAAAUCCUGGGGCUCAACCCCAGAACUGCCUUUGAUACUGAGGAGCUUGAGUCCGGGAGAGGUGAGUGGAACUGCGAGUGUAGAGGUGAAAUUCGUAGAUAUUCGCAAGAACACCAGUGGCGAAGGCGGCUUACUGGUCCGGUUCUGACGCUGAGGCACGAAAGCGUGGGGAGCAAACAGG